UACGUAGGGUGCGAGCGUUAAUCGGAAUUACUGGGCGUAAAGCGUGCGCAGGCGGUUUUGUAAGCCGGAUGUGAAAUCCCCGGGCUUAACCUGGGAAUGGCAUUCGGGACUGCAAGGCUGGAGUGCGGCAGAGGAGACUGGAAUUCCUGGUGUAGCAGUGAAAUGCGUAGAUAUCAGGAGGAACACCGAUGGCGAAGGCAGGUCUCUGGGCUGACACUGACGCUCAUGCACAAAAGCGUGGGGAGCGAACAGG
RNAcentral lists this ribosomal RNA (253 nucleotides) under uncultured bacterium. RNAcentral describes it as "partial 16S ribosomal RNA". It matches the Rfam family "Bacterial small subunit ribosomal RNA", at positions 524 to 776 of the family's 1533-position model. The record is from RNAcentral.